Molecule: transfer RNA, 73 nt
Filed under: Ovis aries (sheep)
Lineage: Eukaryota; Metazoa; Chordata; Mammalia; Artiodactyla; Bovidae
Rfam family: tRNA
About the family: Transfer RNA (tRNA) molecules are approximately 80 nucleotides in length.
Source: Rfam by way of RNAcentral
UCACUGGGGGUCCAGUGUCUAGGACUCUUCACUCCCAAUGCAGGGGGCCCAGGUUCAAUCCCUGGUUGGGGAA